RNAcentral lists this ribosomal RNA (301 nucleotides) under uncultured bacterium. Its description in RNAcentral is "partial 16S ribosomal RNA". It matches the Rfam family "Bacterial small subunit ribosomal RNA", at positions 509 to 809 of the family's 1533-position model. The record is from RNAcentral.
CAGUAGCCGCGGGAAUACGGAGGGAGCUAGCGUUGUUCGGAAUUACUGGGCGUAAAGCGCGCGUAGGCGGUUACUCAAGUCAGAGGUGAAAGCCCGGGGCUCAACCCCGGAACUGCCUUUGAAACUAGGUGACUAGAAUCUUGGAGAGGUCAGUGGAAUUCCGAGUGUAGAGGUGAAAUUCGUAGAUAUUCGGAAGAACACCAGUGGCGAAGGCGACUGACUGGACAAGUAUUGACGCUGAGGUGCGAAAGCGUGGGGAGCAAACAGGAUUAGAUACCCGAGUAGUCCCUGUCUCUUAUAA